Molecule: non-coding RNA, 74 nt
Organism: Lagenorhynchus albirostris (white-beaked dolphin)
Lineage: Eukaryota; Metazoa; Chordata; Mammalia; Artiodactyla; Delphinidae
Source: the annotation of a RefSeq genome assembly
UCCCUGAUGGUCCAGUGGUUAAGACUCUGCACUUCUCCUGCAGGGGGGCACAGGUUCGAUCCCUGGUUGGGGAA